UACGAAGGGGGCUAGCGUUGCUCGGAAUCACUGGGCGUAAAGCGCACGUAGGCGGAUUGCUAAGUCAGGGGUGAAAUCCUGGAGCUCAACUCCAGAACUGCCUUUGAUACUGGCGACCUUGAGUCCGGGAGAGGUGAGUGGAACUGCGAGUGUAGAGGUGAAAUUUGUAGAUAUUCGCAAGAACACCAGUGGCGAAGGCGGCUCACUGGCCCGGUACUGACGCUGAGGUGCGAAAGCGUGGGGAGCAAACAGG
This 253-nucleotide ribosomal RNA is filed under the name uncultured bacterium. Its description in RNAcentral is "partial 16S ribosomal RNA". It matches the Rfam family "Bacterial small subunit ribosomal RNA", at positions 524 to 776 of the family's 1533-position model. The record is from RNAcentral.